CUUAUUCUUGUUGACAUUUCCAGAACUGCGUCUUUCCAACUCUCUUACCUAUAUUUCUGAUCGAUCUUAACCCUUCUUCUUUCUUAGGGUCCAUUAAACAUGCUUCUUUUUUAUAUAUGUUAUGUAUUUCUUACAUCAGUUUUUGCCUCUUUUAGCACUAAUCUGGGCAAUUGGCCUUCCAGGUAUGUGUUCUCGUUUAUUUUUACAGCUUCUCGUGCUACUGCGUGUGCGGUUUUCUUCCCGUUUCUGCAAGUCUGUCUAAACCAGCAUCUGUGAUAAUUUUUGCAUAAUACUUUUAUAUCAGAGAUAUAUUGACUUAAGACUGAUUUAUCUUUAUCAUUGCUUUUCACUUUCUUCAUUAUGCUGAGAGUGUCUACUUCCAUUACCACCCGUCUAAACCCCAGGUCAAGGCCCGCUUUCAUUGCUUGUAAGCACACUAAUGCCUCUACUGCAAAUGGUGUGGGGACUCUUUUAUGUUACCAUUUUUCGACAGUUUAACAUCUUCCCACUCGAAUCCUAGCAUACUAUUCCUGUUCCUGAUUUGGAAUUUUGUUUGUCAAAAGCCCCGUCAAAAUUUAUUUUUAUUUCUGAUGGGUCUGGUGGUUUCCACCGUUCAUUUUCCACUCUCUGUCCAAGCAGCCUUUUAUUCACCUCUUCCCAUUCAUUUAAGUAUUUGCUUAUAAACAUUACAGUGUCUUCUACUAAUUGGGUUUUUUUUCUCAUGCAGGAUCUUAUUCCUCUGCAUCCAUAUUGCCCAGAUACUUCAAAAUAUAACUUUCCUUUGAGCACUAGUCGCUCUGCUUGGCAAUCUCUAAAGGCAUCUUCCAUGGAUUCUUCCAUUUCACUACAGCAUGGGCACAUAACAUGGUUGCAUAUUCGUUUGUAAUGUAGAUUUCCCAUUGUAGGAAAUUAACCAUUGUACACCCUCUAGUUUGUAAUUUUUAUUUUUCCUGGUAGAUCUGUUUGCCAAAGCUCUUUUUGGAAGAACGUAUUUAUAUCUGUAAUAUUUGUCGUCGUAGUGUUUAAGGUUGAUCUUUCCUUUGUAAGCCAUCUGUAGCCACUCCUCAUUGUAUAUUCCCUUGUUUGUUCCCCACUACAAAUUCUGAAGUCUUCCUACGAAUACUUUUCCAACGAAGUACUUAAUAUUGCGUUCA
Long non-coding RNA from Gossypium raimondii (Peruvian cotton), 1154 nucleotides. RefSeq lists it as uncharacterized. Lineage: Eukaryota; Viridiplantae; Streptophyta; Magnoliopsida; Malvales; Malvaceae. The transcript is spliced from 2 exons. The record is from RefSeq and is a predicted model, not a curated record.